UGCAGGACCUCCAAUGUUGCAGGACAUGU
Molecule: non-coding RNA, 29 nt
Filed under: Rattus norvegicus (Norway rat)
Lineage: Eukaryota; Metazoa; Chordata; Mammalia; Rodentia; Muridae
Source: RNAcentral